GAUGAACGCUGGCGGCGUGCCUAAUACAUGCCAGUCGAGCGAACAGACGAGGAGCUUGCUCCUCUGACGUUAGCGGCGGACGGGUGAGUAACACGUGGAUAACCUACCUAUAAGACUGGGAUAACUUCGGGAAACCGGAGCUAAUACCGGAUAACAUGUUGAACCGCAUGGUUUAACAGUGAAAGACGGUCUUGCUGUCACUUAUAGAUGGAUCCGCGCCGCAUUAGCUAGUUGGUAAGGUAACGGCUUACCAAGGCAACGAUGCGUAGCCGACCUGAGAGGGUGAUCGGCCACACUGGAACUGAGACACGGUCCAGACUCCUACGGGAGGCAGCAGUAGGGAAUCUUCCGCAAUGGGCGAAAGCCUGACGGAGCAACGCCGCGUGAGUGAAGAAGGUCUUCGGAUCGUAAAACUCUGUUAUUAGGGAAGAACAAAUGUGUAAGUAACUAUGCACGUCCUGACGGUACCUAAUCAGAAAGCCACGGCUAACUACGUG
This 497-nucleotide ribosomal RNA is filed under the name uncultured bacterium. RNAcentral's name for it is "partial 16S ribosomal RNA". It matches the Rfam family "Bacterial small subunit ribosomal RNA", at positions 28 to 507 of the family's 1533-position model. The record is from RNAcentral.